Molecule: transfer RNA, 76 nt
Filed under: Acidimicrobiales bacterium
Lineage: Bacteria; Bacillati; Actinomycetota; Acidimicrobiia; Acidimicrobiales
Also listed under: 2 other names
Description: tRNA-Arg
Rfam family: tRNA
About the family: Transfer RNA (tRNA) molecules are approximately 80 nucleotides in length. Their secondary structure includes four short double-helical elements and three loops (D, anti-codon, and T loops). Further hydrogen bonds mediate the characteristic L-shaped molecular structure. tRNAs have two regions of fundamental functional importance: the anti-codon, which is responsible for specific mRNA codon recognition, and the 3' end, to which the tRNAs corresponding amino acid is attached (by aminoacyl-tRNA synthetases). tRNAs cope with the degeneracy of the genetic code in two manners: having more than one tRNA (with a specific anti-codon) for a particular amino acid; and 'wobble' base-pairing, i.e. permitting non-standard base-pairing at the 3rd anti-codon position.
Source: RNAcentral
GCCCCCGUAGCUCAGAGGAUAGAGCGUCGGUUUCCUAAACCGUGCGUCGCAGGUUCGAAUCCUGCCGGGGGCGCCA